CACCCCUAACAGCUUAAGAAAAGGUUAGGGGCAUUUCAAUGAAUGUUUAAGUAACCCUUGCAGUUUCUCUAAGAGAAGAGGAAACAGCACUGACGUGUUUGCAUGGCUCACUGACUUUUGGACUAGCAGGUAGAAGCCUUGCAAUCACCUGCCUUUGGCUUUCAGAACUCUGAUGCUGCUUCUUUAAAAGCUAUCCAUUUCCACAGCCAGCCUGCUGCAGCUGCUGAACGUCACCAAGCAGCAUGAAUGAAUGCAAAGACUGGGAGGGCACAAAUUUCAAACAUACUUGGCUAGGUAGCUCUCUUUUUUUGCACACAACCAUUCCAGAUGCUCUGAGCACCGAGACUUCGGCUGGUUCUUUGAGUCCACAAAGGUCCUUUAGAUGCGUCAGCAAGCCUUUUCAGAUCGUAGGAUUUCCCCAGGCAAAAAACUUCAUCAGCUGGAUUUCACUGAAAUCAGGCAUGCUUACUCCCUUACUUAACAAACAUUGCCUAAUUUAUCUUCUUCUGCACUACAUUUCAGGAAUAUCUGUGCUUCUCCAUUGAACAGUGUCUGGUGUCCCCAGAUGAAACAAACACUCUUUGUUCUGCUCAAGACAUGUUAGGC
This 606-nucleotide long non-coding RNA is filed under the name Pogona vitticeps (central bearded dragon). Its description in RNAcentral is "lncRNA (ENSPVIG00000019865.1)". The record is from RNAcentral. Lineage: Eukaryota; Metazoa; Chordata; Lepidosauria; Squamata; Agamidae.